AUUUGGCAUGGGCGCAAGCCUGAUCCAGCCCCCCGCGUGCAUGAUGAAGGCCCUCGGGUUGUAAACUGCUUUUGUACGGAACGAAACGGCGCGCUCUAAUAAAGUGCGCUCAUGACGGUACCGUAAGAAUAAGCACCGGCUAACUACGUGCCAGCAGCCGCGGUAAUACGUAGGGUGCAAGCGUUAAUCGGAAUUACUGGGCGUAAAGCGUGCGCAGGCGGUUUUGUAAGACAGGCGUGAAAUCCCCGGGCUUAACCUGGGAAUUGCGCUUGUGACUGCAAGGCUAGAGUACGGUAGAGGGGGGUAGAAUUCCGCGUGUAGCAGUGAAAUGCGUAGAUAUGCGGAGGAACACCGAUGGCGAAGGCAGCCCCCUGGACCUGUACUGACGCUCAUGCACGAAAGCGUGGGGAGCAAACAGGAUUAGAUACCCUGGUAGUCCACGCCCUAAACGAUGUCAACUGGUUGUUGGGAAUUUACUUUCUCAGUAACGAAGCUAACGCGUGAAGUUGACCGCCUGGGGAGUACGGCCGCAAGGUUGAAACUCAAA
RNAcentral lists this ribosomal RNA (547 nucleotides) under uncultured bacterium. RNAcentral describes it as "bacterial SSU rRNA". It matches the Rfam family "Bacterial small subunit ribosomal RNA", at positions 363 to 905 of the family's 1533-position model. The record is from RNAcentral.